ACUCCUACGGGAGGCAGCAGUGGGGAAUAUUGGACAAUGGGCGCAAGCCUGAUCCAGCCAUGCCGCGUGAGUGAUGAAGGCCUUAGGGUUGUAAAGCUCUUUCACCGGAGUAGAUAAUGACGGUAUCCGGAGAAGAAGCCCCGGCUAACUUCGUGCCAGCAGCCGCGGUAAUACGAAGGGGGCUAGCGUUGUUCGGAAUUACUGGGCGUAAAGCGCACGUAGGCGGAUAUUUAAGUCAGGGGUGAAAUCCCAGAGCUCAACUCUGGAACUGCCUUUGAUACUGGGUAUCUUGAGUAUGGAAGAGGUAAGUGGAAUUCCGAGUGUAGAGGUGAAAUUCGUAGAUAUUCGGAGGAACACCAGUGGCGAAGGCGGCUUACUGGUCCAUUACUGACGCUGAGGUGCGAAAGCGUGGGGAGCAAACAGGAUUAGAUACCCCAGUAGUCC
This 444-nucleotide ribosomal RNA is filed under the name uncultured bacterium. RNAcentral's name for it is "bacterial SSU rRNA". It matches the Rfam family "Bacterial small subunit ribosomal RNA", at positions 335 to 796 of the family's 1533-position model. The record is from RNAcentral.